GAUGAACGCUGGCGGCGUGCCUCAAACAUGCAAGUCGAGCGAGGCUAUGAAUUACCGCAAGGUAAGGCAUAGCCUAGCGGCGAACGGGUGAGUAACACGUGGGUAACCUACCUGGAAGACAGGGAUAACGAUUCGAAAGGGUCGCUAAUACCUGAUAAUAUCCAUCUGCCGGAUGGCGGAGGGAAGAAAGGGGAAACCCGCUUUCAGAUGGGCCCGCGUCCCAUCAGCUAGUUGGUAAGGUAAAGGCUUACCAAGGCGACGACGGGUAGCCGGUCUGAGAGGAUGUACGGCCACACUGGGACUGAGAUACGGCCCAGACUCCUACGGGGGGCAGCAGUAGGGAAUUUUCGGCAAUGGGCGAAAGCCUGACCGAGCGACGCCGCGUGAGGGACGAAGGCCUUCGGGUUGUAACCUCUGUCUGGGGGAUGAGAACGGACGGUACCCCGGAGGAAGCCCGGCUAACUACGUG
Molecule: ribosomal RNA, 469 nt
Filed under: uncultured bacterium
Lineage: Bacteria
Description: bacterial SSU rRNA
Rfam family: Bacterial small subunit ribosomal RNA
Source: RNAcentral